This is a non-coding RNA of Microcebus murinus (gray mouse lemur), 2607 nucleotides long. Lineage: Eukaryota; Metazoa; Chordata; Mammalia; Primates; Cheirogaleidae. The record is from RefSeq and is a predicted model, not a curated record.
CCGUGUGAACAUGCAGCCUUCCCGCGAUGGCGACUGCGGGAGAGACAGGCCGGCCUGGCAACGAGCAGUGGGGCCUUUCAGGAAGUGUCCGGCUCGGGAGGCACAUCUCGAGCCCACGCGGGGCUGCGGGCGGGACGUCAGCUACUGAGGCUCGGAGCCCGGGGACAGGUCUGCCCGUGGGAGCAGGAGCCGGGCCCCGUGGUCCCGACGCCGGCCGGCGCCAGCAGGCCCGGGAAGUGCGGAAACGGCUGCCAGUGAGGUGGCUGGAGAACCAGGAGUGGGUUUUGUUCUUAGGAAGUCCUGUGAAAAUCGUAUCUGAACGCAUUCAGGGAUUUGUCAUUAGGAAAAGCUGAAAAAUCAAAUUCGCCAACGAUCCUACAGCCACCAAGUUGGAAAUAUGCGCCCCAAACUUGAGACGGUCGUAACUCUGAUUAUAGAACACAAAUGUCAUUGAGCAUUGGAAUCAUCUGAGUGAUUUGCGGCCUCUGUUUGCCUAAUGGAAAUGGAUGUCACCAUGUUAGAGGUGUCUUUCUCCCCAGCCCUGUUUCCUGCUCAUCAGUCACCGCGUUUCUGUAGAAGAGAAAUCGAGGGUGCCUUGCUCCAAAGGCGCAAUGGAAACAACAGAGGGGACCGAAGCCACUCCUAUAACUUCCAUCUACGAUUUUACAAACAAAUGUGUGGAGAUUUCUGAUUCCAAGAAGGUGGAGUGGACCUACUUCUCUUCUCUCCACUAAGAGCAGUGAGUGACACUGGGCGUUACGUAUUAAACACACGUGAGGAGACUCUGGAGGGGUGAGAAGAGUUGGAAUAGGGACUAUAGGACCAGCGAAGGAUGGGGUGAAGGGUCCCCAGGUUUUCCUUCUGCCUCACAUGCCCCAGACGUGUGGAGCUAAAGAGUCAGCAACCCAGAUGCCAACGGGUGCAGAAAAAACAGCCAGUCCUAAGAACAUGGCUGUCGCCAGCCAAAGGACUCAGAAAAGGGCACCUGAACAAGGCAGAAAACUUUUCUUUUUUUGGCUGGAACAUUCUUUCUUAAUAACCCCAUGACUGUCCCUCUAUCUACUUUCAAAAUAAGCAUAUUUAGUUACCAAAUCUAUGGUCUACACUUUUGAAAAGUUUGCCAAUAAGCACACACUGAUUUGGAGUUUUCUAAGCAGUGUCCAAAGAGGGGGCAGUCCACCUGCAGCCUGGCAGAGGGCCGCACUCAGCUCCAGGCUUUCAGCCAGGGGCCUGUCUGACUCUGGGUGCCCUGGAGGGGCAGCACAGCAGGCCUCACACUUGCAAUGCCCAUGAGUCUGAAAGCAAACCCCAGCGCAGGUCUCUUAGGACAGUCAUCCAGACACUUAGAAUCCGGGACUUGCAACGCUGAACUCCUUGCUCCCGUUGGGAAGCAUUAGCAAUGCUGUCUCCUUCCUGCUGCAGUGAUGGGAUUAUGGUACACCUGAUAGUAAUAGUGUUUCCAAAAACAUGGAAAGAGAAUCUGAAACAAAAUAAUGAGAAUUGAUAUAAACAAUACCCAAGGCUUAUGCAUAUGUGGGACUGAAAACACUUGUGUAUAUAUAUUCGAGAUGGGAAGUCAAGCAGGGUUUUAGUGAAGUUUGUCUUUUAUCUCACAAGUUGCAUUUUCCUUUUAUAUCUGUAGUUAUCCUUUGGAGUUGGAGGGGAUUGGUCCCAGGACCGCCCUUGAAUGCUCAAGUUCCUGAUGUAAAAUGGUGUAGUGUUUGCAUAUAACCUGUGUGCAUCCUCCAGCUGCUUUAAAUCACCUCUAGAUUACUAAUAAUACCUAGUACAAGGUAGAUGCUAUGUAAAUAGUUGUUAUCCUGUAUUGUUUAGGGAACACAAUCUGUACAUGUUUAGCACAGACACAAUCACCCUUUUUUUCCUGGAAUAUUUUCAAUUUGCAGUUGGUUGAAUCCAUAGAUGCGGGAACUCAAGGAUAACAAAGGCCAACUGUAUUUAAUUAAAAAAUGUGAGCAAAGCUAUUAAUUUCCAAUCUUAAAGGCAUGAUCCCUUGAUUUUUAUAUACAAAUCACACUUCUUGGAUUAAAGUACAACUAGAAGCUUCAUUUUUCUUAAUUGUAAGAAAAGAUUGUUAUUUGGAAAUUGGACAUCUCAAGUGUUGCCUUCCUUCUAAAUAUUGAAUUUCCGUAUCCUUGUCCUUUAUGUCAUGUAUAAUUACAUGCGGAAAAACACACACAAGUGUAUGCAUAUUUGUUUACUAUAAUCUCAGGAGAUUUGAAUUGAUCUUGGAUUUUCAUUUUGUAGUUUAUUUCACAAACACAUAGACACUAUGUUAUAGGAGAACUUUUUUUUAUUCUUUUAAAAAAUAUGUUCCUGUCAUGUUACCCAUAUUUCCAAAUCUGUUAAUGAUACGAAGAGUGUGUGCAUGUGUGUUGAAUUUCAAGAACGUAUGCAAAACCACUUUCUCAAAGGGACAAGUGUGGCAGAGAAUUGAAUCUUUCCUUCCAUUGGAAAUAUCAUGAAACUGUAUUCUGGGAAAGUGACAAUAAUUAAAAGCACAUGGGCCACGACCUUAAUGAUGCCUCAGUCUGAUGCAGGACGAGCCUUUGGUGUUACAACACCGAGGAGGAGUGAGCGGGCCGUGGC